AACGAACGCUGGCGGCAUGCCUAACACAUGCAAGUCGAACGGGAUCCUGGUUUCGGCCAGGUGAGAGUGGCGGACGGGUGAGUAACACGUGGGUAACCUGCCCUGGAGACCGGGAUACCCUCUCGAAAGGGAGGCUAAUACCGGAUACGUUCCCUGGACCGAAAGAUCUGGGGAGGAAAGGUGGCGCAAGCUGCCGCUCUUGGAGGGGCUCGCGGCCUAUCAGCUAGUUGGUGAGGUGANGGCUCACCAAGGCGAUGACGGGUAGCUGGUCUGAGAGGACGACCAGCCACACGGGGACUGAGACAC
RNAcentral lists this ribosomal RNA (306 nucleotides) under uncultured bacterium. RNAcentral describes it as "bacterial SSU rRNA". It matches the Rfam family "Bacterial small subunit ribosomal RNA", at positions 29 to 327 of the family's 1533-position model. The record is from RNAcentral.